Molecule: ribosomal RNA, 504 nt
Filed under: uncultured bacterium
Lineage: Bacteria
Description: partial 16S ribosomal RNA
Rfam family: Bacterial small subunit ribosomal RNA
Source: RNAcentral
AUUGAACGCUGGCGGCAGGCCUAACACAUGCAAGUCGAACGGUAGCACAGAGAGCUUGCUCUCGGGUGACGAGUGGCGGACGGGUGAGUAACGUCUGGGAAACUGCCCGAUGGAGGGGGAUUACUACUGGAAACGGUAGCUAAUACCGCAUAACGUCGCAAGACCAAAGUGGGGGACCUUCGGGCCUCACACCAUCGGAUGUGCCCAGAUUGGAUUAGCUAGUAGGUGGGGGAAUGGCUCACCUAGGCGACGAUCCCUAGCUGGUCUGAGAGGAUGACCAGCCACACUGGAACUGAGACACGGUCCAGACUCCUACGGGAGGCAGCAGUGGGGAAUAUUGCACAAUGGGCGCAAGCCUGAUGCAGCCAUGCCGCGUGUAUGAAGAAGGCCUUUGGGUUGUAAAGUACUUUCAGCGGGGAGGAAGGCGGUGAAGUUAAUAACUUCACCGAUUGACGUUACCCGCAGAAGAAGCACCGGCUAACUCCGUGCCAGCCGCCGCGGUAA